RNAcentral lists this transfer RNA (73 nucleotides) under Myotis brandtii (Brandt's bat). It matches the Rfam family "tRNA". Rfam says of the family: Transfer RNA (tRNA) molecules are approximately 80 nucleotides in length. Lineage: Eukaryota; Metazoa; Chordata; Mammalia; Chiroptera; Vespertilionidae. The record is from Rfam by way of RNAcentral.
GCCAGUCUGGCUCAGCGGAUGGAGUGUCAGCCUGCAGACUGAAGGGUCAUGGGUUCAAUUCCCAUCAGGGGCA